GGUGGAAAGAUUUAUCGGUGCAGGAUGGGCCCGCGGCCUAUCAGCUUGUUGGUGGGGUAAUGGCCUACCAAGGCGACGACGGGUAGCCGACCUGAGAGGGUGACCGGCCACACUGGGACUGAGACACGGCCCAGACACCUACGGGAGGCAGCAGUGGGGAAUAUUGCACAAUGGGCGAAAGCCUGAUGCAGCGACGCCGCGUGAGGGAUGACGGCCUUCGGGUUGUAAACCUCUUUCAGCAGGGACGAAGCGCAAGUGACGGUACCUGCAGAAGAAGCACCGGCUAACUACGUGCCAGCAGCCGCGGUAAUACGUAGGGUGCAAGCGUUGUCCGGAAUUACUGGGCGUAAAGAGUUCGUAGGCGGUUUGUCGCGUCGUUUGUGAAAACCAGCAGCUCAACUGCUGGCUUGCAGGCGAUACGGGCAGACUUGAGUACUGCAGGGGAGACUGGAAUUCCUGGUGUAGCGGUGAAAUGCGCAGAUAUCAGGAGGAACACCGGUGGCGAAGGCGGGUCUCUGGGCAGUAACUGACGCUGAGGAACGAAAGCGUGGGUAGCGAACAGGAUUAGAUACCCUGGUAGUCCACGCCGUAAACGGUGGGCGCUAGGUGUGGGUUCCUUCCACGGAAUCCGUGCCGUAGCUAACGCAUUAAGCGCCCCGCCUGGGGAGUACGGCCGCAAGGCUAAAACUCAAAGGAAUUGACGGGGGGCCCGCACAAGCGGCCGGAGCAUGUGGGAUUAAUUUCGAUGCAACGCGAAAAAACCUUACCUGGGGUUUGACAUAUACCCGGAAAGCUGCAAAAGAUGUGGGCCCCCCUUGGGGGCCGGUAUACAAGGUGGGUGCAUGGGUUGUCCGCCAGCUCCGUGUCGUGGAAAUGUUGGGGUAAAGUCCCCGCAACCAAGCGCAACCCCCUAUCUUAAUGUUUGCCAGCACCGUUAUUGGUGGGGGACUCCGUAAAGAGACUUGCCCGGGGGUCAACUUCCGGAAGGAAAGGUGGGGGGACGGACCGUCAAAGUCAUUCAUUGCCCCCUUUAUUGUCCCAGGGGCUUUCCACCCAUUGCUUACAAAUGGGCCAAGUAACAAAAAGGGCUUCCCAAAACCCCCUGAAAGGUGGAAACGGAAAUCCCCCUUAAAAACUGGGGGCCUCCAGUUCGGAAAUCGGGGGGGUUUGGGCAACUUCCGCACCCCCCCUCGAAAAUCCGGGAGAUCCCCCAAUGUAUAUUUCCCGGAAAUCUACCCCAACCCUUUCCCGGGGGGAAUAAAAAAUUUCCCCCCGGGGCCUUUUGGUAAAAAACACACGCCCCUUGCCCCACGCUUUUUAGGAAAAAUCUGGGGUAACAACCCCCCAAAAAACCCCGCGGGGGGUUUUAAACCCUCUUUUUUGGGGGGGAGGAGUCUCCUCAAAAAAUGGGGGGCUAAGGGGACAAGGGAGGACAGGGGGGACCAGAAAAAAAAAAAUAAGAAAGGCGCCCGGCUGUAGAAGUAGGGGGGGGAAAGCGAA
Molecule: ribosomal RNA, 1500 nt
Filed under: Rhodococcus qingshengii
Lineage: Bacteria; Bacillati; Actinomycetota; Actinomycetes; Mycobacteriales; Nocardiaceae
Description: partial 16S ribosomal RNA
Rfam family: Bacterial small subunit ribosomal RNA (bases 1-1268)
Source: RNAcentral